ACUUUUAAAGGAUAGCAGUCAAUCCAGUGGU
This 31-nucleotide transfer RNA is filed under the name Coeligena coeligena. Its description in RNAcentral is "tRNA-Leu". The record is from RNAcentral. Lineage: Eukaryota; Metazoa; Chordata; Aves; Apodiformes; Trochilidae.